Molecule: ribosomal RNA, 235 nt
Filed under: uncultured Candidatus Saccharibacteria bacterium
Lineage: Bacteria; Candidatus Saccharimonadota
Description: partial 16S ribosomal RNA
Rfam family: Bacterial small subunit ribosomal RNA
Source: RNAcentral
UAAGUUGGUAGUGAAAGCCCACGGCUCAACCGUGGACACAUUACCAAAACUGCUAAGCUUGAGCACGAGAGAGGUAACUGGAAUUCCAGGUGUAGGAGUGAAAUCCGUAGAUAUCUGGAGGAACACCGAUGGCGUAGGCAGGUUACUGGCUCGUUGCUGACACUGAGGCACGAAAGCGUGGGGAGCGAACGGGAUUAGAUACCCCGGUAGUCCACGCCGUAAACGAUGGAUGCUA